AGUGAACGCUGGCGGUAGGCCUAACACAUGCAAGUCGAACGGCAGCACAGGAGAGCUUGCUCUCUGGGUGGCGAGUGGCGGACGGGUGAGGAAUACAUCGGAAUCUACUUUUUCGUGGGGGAUAACGUAGGGAAACUUACGCUAAUACCGCAUACGACCUACGGGUGAAAGCAGGGGAUCUUCGGACCUUGCGCGAUUGAACGAGCCGAUGUCGGAUUAGCUAGUUGGCGGGGUAAAGGCCCACCAAGGCGACGAUCCGUAGCUGGUCUGAGAGGAUGAUCAGCCACACUGGAACUGAGACACGGUCCAGACUCCUACGGGAGGCAGCAGUGGGGAAUAUUGGACAAUGGGCGCAAGCCUGAUCCAGCCAUACCGCGUGGGUGAAGAAGGCCUCCGGGUUGUAAAGCCCUUUUGUUGGGAAAGAAAUCCAGCUGGUUAAUACCCGGUUGGGAUGACGGUACCCAAAGAAUAAGCACCGGCUAACUUCGUGCCAGCCGCCGCAGUAA
Molecule: ribosomal RNA, 506 nt
Filed under: uncultured bacterium
Lineage: Bacteria
Description: partial 16S ribosomal RNA
Rfam family: Bacterial small subunit ribosomal RNA
Source: RNAcentral